AUUGAACGCUGGCGGCAGGCCUAACACAUGCAAGUCGAACGGUAACAGGAAGCAGCUUGCUGCUUUGCUGACGAGUGGCGGACGGGUGAGUAAUGUCUGUGAAACUGCCCGAUGGAGGGGGAUAACUACUGGAAACGGUAGCUAAUACCGCUUAACGUCGCAAGACAAAAGAGGGGGACCUUAGGGCCUCUUGCCAUCGGCUGUGCCCAGAUGGGAUUAGCUAGUAGGUGGGGUAACGGCUCACCUAGGCGACGAUCCCUAGCUGGUCUGAGAGGAUGACCAGCCACACUGGAACUGAGACACGGUCCAGACUCCUACGGGAGGCAGCAGUGGGGAAUAUUGCACAAUGGGCGCAAGCCUGAUGCAGCCAUGCCGCGUGUAUGAAGAAGGCCUUCGGGUUGUAAAGUACUUUCAGCGGGGAGGAAGGGAGUAAAGUUAAUACCUUUGCUCAUUGACGUUACCCGCAGAAGAAGCACCGGCUAACUCCGUG
RNAcentral lists this ribosomal RNA (490 nucleotides) under uncultured bacterium. Its description in RNAcentral is "partial 16S ribosomal RNA". It matches the Rfam family "Bacterial small subunit ribosomal RNA", at positions 30 to 507 of the family's 1533-position model. The record is from RNAcentral.